This 1494-nucleotide ribosomal RNA is filed under the name Paraclostridium bifermentans ATCC 638 = DSM 14991. RNAcentral describes it as "Paraclostridium bifermentans ATCC 638 16S ribosomal RNA". It matches the Rfam family "Bacterial small subunit ribosomal RNA". Lineage: Bacteria; Bacillati; Bacillota; Clostridia; Peptostreptococcales; Peptostreptococcaceae. The record is from RNAcentral.
AGAGUUUGAUCCUGGCUCAGGAUGAACGCUGGCGGCGUGCCUAACACAUGCAAGUCGAGCGAUCUCUUCGGAGAGAGCGGCGGACGGGUGAGUAACGCGUGGGUAACCUGCCCUGUACACACGGAUAACAUACCGAAAGGUAUACUAAUACGGGAUAACAUAUGAAAGUCGCAUGGCUUUUGUAUCAAAGCUCCGGCGGUACAGGAUGGACCCGCGUCUGAUUAGCUAGUUGGUAAGGUAAUGGCUUACCAAGGCAACGAUCAGUAGCCGACCUGAGAGGGUGAUCGGCCACACUGGAACUGAGACACGGUCCAGACUCCUACGGGAGGCAGCAGUGGGGAAUAUUGCACAAUGGGCGAAAGCCUGAUGCAGCAACGCCGCGUGAGCGAUGAAGGCCUUCGGGUCGUAAAGCUCUGUCCUCAAGGAAGAUAAUGACGGUACUUGAGGAGGAAGCCCCGGCUAACUACGUGCCAGCAGCCGCGGUAAUACGUAGGGGGCUAGCGUUAUCCGGAAUUACUGGGCGUAAAGGGUGCGUAGGUGGUUUUUCAAGUCAGAAGUGAAAGGCUACGGCUCAACCGUAGUAAGCUUUUGAAACUAGAGAACUUGAGUGCAGGAGAGGAGAGUAGAAUUCCUAGUGUAGCGGUGAAAUGCGUAGAUAUUAGGAGGAAUACCAGUAGCGAAGGCGGCUCUCUGGACUGUAACUGACACUGAGGCACGAAAGCGUGGGGAGCAAACAGGAUUAGAUACCCUGGUAGUCCACGCCGUAAACGAUGAGUACUAGGUGUCGGGGGUUACCCCCCUCGGUCGCCGCAGCUAACGCAUUAAGUACUCCGCCUGGGAAGUACGCUCGCAAGAGUAGAAACUCAAAGGAAUUGACGGGGACCCGGCCACAAGUAGCGGAGCAUGUGGUUUAAUUCGAAGCAACGCGAAGAACCUUACCUAAGCUUGACAUCCCACUGACCUCUCCCUAAUCGGAGAUUUCCCUUCGGGGACAGUGGUGACAGGUGGUGCAUGGUUGUCGUCAGCUCGUGUCGUGAGAUGUUGGGUUAAGUCCCGCAACGAGCGCAACCCUUGCCUUUAGUUGCCAGCAUUAAGUUGGGCACUCUAGAGGGACUGCCGAGGAUAACUCGGAGGAAGGUGGGGAUGACGUCAAAUCAUCAUGCCCCUUAUGCUUAGGGCUACACACGUGCUACAAUGGGUGGUACAGAGGGUUGCCAAGCCGCGAGGUGGAGCUAAUCCCUUAAAGCCAUUCUCAGUUCGGAUUGUAGGCUGAAACUCGCCUACAUGAAGCUGGAGUUACUAGUAAUCGCAGAUCAGAAUGCUGCGGUGAAUGCGUUCCCGGGUCUUGUACACACCGCCCGUCACACCAUGGAAGUUGGGGGCGCCCGAAGCCGGUUAGCUAACCUUUUAGGAAGCGGCCGUCGAAGGUGAAACCAAUGACUGGGGUGAAGUCGUAACAAGGUAGCCGUAUCGGAAGGUGCGGCUGGAUCACCU